RNAcentral lists this ribosomal RNA (320 nucleotides) under uncultured bacterium. Its description in RNAcentral is "bacterial SSU rRNA". It matches the Rfam family "Bacterial small subunit ribosomal RNA", at positions 1077 to 1397 of the family's 1533-position model. The record is from RNAcentral.
GGGUUAAGUCCCGCAACGAGCGCAACCCUCGACCCUUAGUUGCCAGCAUUACGUUGGGCACUCUAAGGGGACUGCCGGUGAUAAGCCGAGAGGAAGGUGGGGAUGACGUCAAGUCCUCAUGGCCCUUACGGGCUGGGCUACACACGUGCUACAAUGGUGGUGACAGUGGGCAGCGAGCACGCGAGUGUGAGCUAAUCUCCAAAAGCCAUCUCAGUUCGGAUUGCACUCUGCAACUCGAGUGCAUGAAGUUGGAAUCGCUAGUAAUCGCGGAUCAGCACGCCGCGGUGAAUACGUUCCCGGGCCUUGUACACACCGCCCGU